RNAcentral lists this long non-coding RNA (6605 nucleotides) under Malus domestica (apple). Its description in RNAcentral is "long non-coding RNA (MDOM_LNC018925)". The record is from RNAcentral. Lineage: Eukaryota; Viridiplantae; Streptophyta; Magnoliopsida; Rosales; Rosaceae.
GUUUUAAUUGGUUAAUUGUGAACUAGUAAGUGGUGACUAUGAUUAAGUAUGUGCUCAAGUGUAAAGAUGACCAAAAUCUGUGGGAAUGAUGAUUUUUAACAUGUCAUGUUUCAUUAAAAAUCCCUGUGGCAAUUGUUGGAAGAUGUAGGUUGUGUUUUGUUUGUUUCGUUUGUUUUGUUUUGCUCGAGGACUAGCAAAAGCUAAGUGUGGGGGAAUUUGAUAGGAGCAUAUUUAUGCGACUGAGUUAGCUUGUUCUCAUGCAUUUAUGUUGUUAUUUCUAAGUUAAUUACGUAUUUUAAGCUAUUUUCGUGUGUUUGUAGGUCCAUAGGCCUUAUAAAGCAAUAAGAUGUAUUUUGGUGCAUUUUGGAGUAGUUUUGGGCUUAGAAUGAAUAUCUCAUGCAUGGAGCAAGGAGGAUGGACGAAAUUGAAGACUAAAGAGGCUAGGAAUGUGUUAAAGAGAAAGAAAAAUUAAUGUAAAAAGGACAAAGAGCUCAGCCACAAAGGGGUGUCACUCCACCAUUCACAUUUCCAUCAUUGCAGUACACCACCAUUACACUCCCUUUGUCUACCAUGUGCACAAUAUCCUUUCACCUCCUUGCACUUAUUGAUUCACCACUUACUCACCUUUCCACCCAUGCCAUGCAUAACCACCCUUGUCCCCUUCAUUAUUUCAGAUUCAUGCAUCAUUACAUUGAAUCAUUGCACUCAAUUGCUACACCAUUCCUUGUUCCCUCCAUCAUUUUAGAUUCAUGCAUCAUUACAUUGAAUCAUUGCACUCAACUGCUACAUGCAUCAUUACAUUGAAUCAUUGCACUCAAUUGCUACACCAUUCCUUUUUCCCUCUAUCAUUUCAGAUUUCAUACAUCAUUACAUUGAAUCAUUGCACUCAAUUGGUACACCAUUCCUUGUUCCCUUCAUCAUUUCAGAUUUCAUGCAUCAUUGCACUCAAUUGCUACACCACUCCAUGUUUCCCUCCAUUGCCAUGCACUUCCUCUAUAAAAGGAAGCGUGUGUAACAUAAAUUUAGCUUAGUUCAUACUUGGUUAGAUCAUUCACUCCCAUUUCAACACAACCUUCAUCCAAACAUAUCCAUUCAUCUUCACAUCCAUUCCUCCAUACAAACAAACCUUCAAACACUCACCAACACCUUGUGCCGUAGCAAAGGAAGGGAAUAAGUGCUUGGACGUGCUUGCUGUCCAACUUGGAUCGUUAGAGCGUUUAGGUGUUUUCUUUCUUUUGUUUCUAAUGUUUAAAUUCAUUUCCUUUCGUUUUGUUGUAAAUAUGAGUGGCUAAACCCUUCUUGGCUAGGGGUGAUUUCAAAGCCAUGAUUAUGUGUGCAAUAUAAUUUGAUAAAUUCCAGUUAUGAACUCUUGAAUCGUGAAUGCAAUUGGCUUAACUAUUCGAUUGAUAACUUAUUUGUAUUUGUUAAUUAAGGGUCGACACUUAAUUGGCAUGCAUAAAUCCGUUGCUAGAAUAUAAGGAAGUUUCACAUAAUCGUUGCAAACUUAUAUUCACAUGUAGUGAAGGUCACUUAUAAACGAUCGCGUUAAGUUCAAUUCCUAGCAUGAGUGACAUGAUGUCAUAGUUGGAAGUGCUUUUUCAAUGCUUAUGAUUUUCAUUAAACGUAAUGAUCUUUGAUUGUAUCUCUAUUAUGAUGUCAUGUAGGGAACUUUAGAAGAAUGUUUUGGGUUGUCGAAUGAUGUCAUCCAAUCCAAUAAAACAAGGAAAAUAUGAGAGUUAACUAGUGAUGUCACGGUUAAUUUGGAGCAUUGUCGUUCAUAAUUCAAUGAAGUAGUAACUGGAAAUCAAGUUAUUUGCAUACAUGUCAUGUGUGGAGAGAAAGCCUCUAGCUAUCCCAUCCAUCAUCUUAUUUCUCACAUUCGUUUUACAAUCUGUCUAGAUUUUCAUACUUGUUUGUUUUUUACAACUUCAUCCAAAUCAAAACCCCCAUUUUAGUUCUUGUUUCAAAGUGUUUCAAAUCUGUUUUAGUUUGUGUUUUUAAGUGUUUUGAUUCAAGUAAAAGUCCAUUUUCGUCCAAAGUCAUUCCUAGUGUCUAGUUUAAGUUUAUUUGGUUGUUUUGAGUUGUUUUGAGUAUUUUAAGUUUGCUUUGAGUCUUGUGAAUCUUGUUAAGUGUUUUUAAGUUUAGUUUUUUGUUUUUUUAGUCAGUUUAGAGGUUAUUAGCAAGCCCUUCUAUUCCCCGGUCCAGAACGAUCUCUACAUAUACUUAUACUACAAUUGUCAAAAGAGGGUUAAAUUUGUGUGUUAAUUUAAUUUUCGCAUCAAAAUCACGGGCAAUUUGUCUAAGCACCGAUUUCAAAUCUCGAAGAGGCAUCUGCUUUUCCAGACGUGUCAGUAUCUGUCACAUGCACACUCAGCUUUGCGCUAAUCACAGGCAAUUUGUCGAAGAUUUCUAAUGAAGAAGAAAGCACGUGAAGCCAUACUGAUCGAUCACUCAAUGGUUGUCGACACGAGUGAAAGAAUAGUACCUCUACAGGUAUUAAAGAACUUCCUAUAACUGUCCACCUUCACCCUCCAUAGCAAGGCAGACAUACUCAACCUUUCUUCAUCUCUGAGAAUGCAUUUCCAACAAACCCUCUCGAGUCACUCAGUGUUCCUUAUUCCUUAGGGUACCUCUACAAACAAAUGACACCAAAGCCAAAGUAUCUCAUAUCACCAAGGAAGAAAGCAAGAGUGUCUCAUAUCAUGCGUUCUCCCUGUCAUUUCCUUUGUCCUUGUUCUUACCUGCAAAGACAAGGAUAAAGAAAGCAAUAUGCUGGAACCUCCACUCAAACUCAGGUAAGGAAUCGACUACCUGGAACCUUUGCAUGGUUGCUUACCUGGCAUUGCUCUCUAGUACUCGUCUUCAGCUACUGAUGUACUUCCAAAGAAGCUGCCACAUCUGCCUAGAGAACAGAUAAGGCAAGUGAAAAUCAUACCUUGCAGCAUGUGGAGAAACGUGCAGAAGAAACAAGCAGAGAAGAAUGCAGCCCUGCACAGUCAACUCAGCAGAAGAAAUCUGAGUUGAGGAACUUGAGAAGAUGCCACAUUCUGCCAGAAGAAUAGAUAAGGCAAGGGAAAAUGAUACAUUGAAGCAUGUGGAGACAAGCAUAACAAAGCACGUGCCGAUUCAUCCGCUACUUCUUCAAAAUCAAAAGUAUCUCAUAUCAUCAGGGUUGCAAUCACUCUGGGUAGAGGACUCGUUUUGACCCUCAAAUUCUUGGGUCGACUCGCUAGGCGUUGUGGGCUACACGUGCCGAUUCACCACUCUUGAAUCAAAUCCUUAAAGAUCAAGUCACCAAUUGGAAAAAAAGCCCAUCAAUCUUGAAGAUCAUACAGUUGACCAAACUGCUCAGGUGUGAAUUAGAAACAUUGAACAAAGCAACAAGUCAUCAUCUUCACCUUGUGCCUGCUGGCCAUGUGUUCGAGUCAACCUUCAAGAAUCAAACCUCAACGACCCUUGAAGAAGCUUCCAGCCAAAUUCAAGAUCAAGCCUCGACGGCCCUUGAGGAAAUCACAAGUUCGAUUCAAGAUCAAGCGUCCACCACCCUUGAAUCAAAUCCAGUUCAAGAAUAAGCUGAGGAAAGUCAACAAUUGGAGGAAUCCAGAAAAUCCUCCAACCCAAUUCAAGAUCAAAGUUGUGGAAAGUCAACAAGCGCAAAAAAACAAAUACGUGCCAAUUCAUUCACUACCAAAGCCAAAGAUCAUCUACCACAUGAAGCUCCUUGUAGUCCAAUUUCAACCUUCAAGAUCAAGCCUCGACUGCCCUUGAAGAAAUUUUCAGCCCAAUUCAAGAUCAAGCCUCAACGGCAUUUGAAGAAAUCUCCAACCCAAUUCAAGAUCAAGCCUCGAUGGCCCUUGGAUCGACAUCUACAUUAAGGGACUUCAAAACGCAUCUCCUACACAUGAUAAGCACAUAUAUACGACGCGCUUUGAAGUGAGGGCAUUUGUAGACAUCGAAAUUUCGGUGAAAUAAAUGUUGACCAAUAGUUACAAUUUCAACGCUCACGUGUCACAUAAAUUUUACACGUAGCGUGUGAGUAAACGAAAAAUCAAAAUAAAUCAGAAAAGUCAUCAAAUAGGACACAUGUCAACACCUGACAGAAACGAUUUAUUUCAUAUGCAUAUUAUAUUCAAAAUUAGGCCUUGGAAAAUUCUAUAAAUAGGAAGCCAAUGCAUUCAUUUGAGAAGGACCAAUUCAGAACCAAUUCAUACCAAUUCCUAACCAAUUCAUAUUACACCAAAACCUUGAAGCUCUGAAGCUCUGAAACUCCAAAGCUCUCAAGCAUCCAAGUUCCCGAAGAAUCAAGAAAACCCUUUUCGUUCUUCGUUCAUCGUUCUUCCAAGAUCAAGCCUCGACGGCCCUUGGAUCAACAAUCAUCCACCUUUAAGAUCAAGCCCCAACGGCCCUUUGAAGGAACUUCCACCAAUUCAAGAUCAAGCCCUGAUGGCCCCUUGAAGAAAGUGUUCAUCGUUCAUCAUCCGUUCAUCCUAAGAUCAAGCCCCAACGACCCUUUGGAUCAACAACAUCAACAAACCCCAUAUAUCCAACCGUUUUGCAAGAUAAAGCCCAAAAGCCCUUGAAGAUCCAUUCAUCAACUGUUCAUCAAGAUCAAGCCCCAAAAGCUCUUGAAGAUCCGUUCAUCAACAAUUCUUCAAGAUCAAGCCCAAAAGCCUUGAAGAUCCGUGCAUCACUGUUCUUCAAGAUCAAGCCCAAAAGCCCUUGAAGAUCCGUUCAUCACCGUCAUUCAAGAUCAUGCCUCAACGGCCCUUGAAGAAACUUUCAACCGUUCAUCCAAGAACAAGCCUCCACGGCCCCUGGAUCAAUCGCACAUCCACAAAUCAACACCUUACGGAGAUCGAAUCAGAGGAUCAAAUUUGAGAGAGAUUGUAACCCAAAAUCAUUAAUACAAAUAUUAUUUUGUACACAUGUUCUUGUCUCGUUUGUUUCAGGAAAAUUCCGUGUUUACAAUAAUCAUGCUCAAUACUACUCUCACAUAAUAGCUGGGCAAUAAUUCGCUAGUCACCUACGAGUUGGAACCAUAAAUAAGGUCUGUACGACAAGAAUGUGCACCUAAAUUGGAUCCAAUAUGAGCAUAUGGUGCGGGAGGUGACAUAAUAAACAGGCUUAUGCCAUAACUCUAGCUAAAUCACAAUCACCCUAUGUGCAGUUUUAUGACCUCAACAUUAUUCAAUCACAUAUCGCAUCAUCGAUGAUUCACAUAACCAAACAUAACUUACCCAAGCUUACCUGAGCGUCCACGGAACCACAAUUAUAUAUAAUGCAUCAUAUACCAAUUCAUGUACAAUUUAUAAACUUAUAUGCAAGGCAUUUAUGGCAUACUUUAAUUUAAACACAUAUUUGUGGAAAAAUAUCAAGUGUAUAAUAUAUAUUGAAAACCAAAAGCCCACUCACUGGUAUGUCGAAGGGUCGUAGCCCUCGAGUCGCCAUUGGAUACGCUCGUCCUCGGGAUAAGUCUCACCUAUAUGCGAAUUAACUAUAAAAAUGUUAUUUUAGAGCAUAUAGACAAAACUAGCUAAUAACUUCUCAUACAUAGCUCAAAAUGGGUAUAUGAAUAUACCACAGUGACCUACACAACCUCAGGAUCAUCCCCAAAUUUUUAGAUUAAUUUUUCAUCCACCCACGCACCGCCACGCGCCGGCGAGUGCACAGUAAGACGCGCGGCCACACGCAGGGAAUCCUGACGGAUUCUCUAACUACCGUUAGGAAUAUUCCGUUAAGACCAACGAUAACUGUUAAUUCUAACUGACAGCAUUAGCAUAUUCCGUUAACCUUAACGGAAUAUGCUCCUUUCUACUCCGGCGAGUCGCUGGUCGUCGAUGACUUCGCCGAUUUAUGGGUAAAACUUCGAAACCACUAUUCUUCUUCGUUUCUUCACCAUUUUCUAUGAAAUUUUCACCAAUGGAAAGCUAGAGAUGAGUAGAACAACAUUAUACCUAUUUUAGGACCUGUAACCCACGAAUUCUUACCGGAGAAAUUUGAGAAAACCGGCCAACUUCGAAACUAGCUAUCCCGACGUCCAAUUUCUUUAAACGAAGUACUCUAAGCUUCGUAAGGACCUCCUUAAGCUCCCUAUGAGCAUGAAAUUUCCUAAAACCAACAUAUUUACGUAUGCAUGAACAGUGACAAAAUCGGAGCUAGGGUUUCCACGUGAAAUCGAAGGUUUCCUUACCUGAAAAUAGUACCUUUGAACUCGUAUGGUUCUCACGAACACAAAGGCCUUUGAUCUGUUACAUUUCAAAUGGUUUUGGGUGAUGUCCGUACAAGAGAGAAGAGAGAGAGAGUCUGUGAGAGAGAAAGAGAGUACGGGAAGGAGUGAGAGAAAAUGUGGGUGUGUGUAUGUGGUCCAAAAGUCACCAAUCAAACCUAAGGAGAACACUUAGUUCUAAUUGGGUCCAAUAAUAAAGGAAUAAUGCAAGUUUGAACCCCUUAACAUGCAUAACACACACCACAAUACUCACGUCCAAGGGUAUAACUGUCAUUUCACAUCGUCAAAAAUUAAAUAUUCGGAAUGGUGAUAGACGCAUAUUUAUGCGACUUAGUUAACUAGUUUUCUUGCAUUUACGUUAUUAGUUCUUAGUUAUUUU